This is a non-coding RNA of Pelobates cultripes (western spadefoot toad), 449 nucleotides long. The record is from the annotation of a GenBank genome assembly. NCBI's taxonomy places the organism in Eukaryota, Metazoa, Chordata, Amphibia, Anura, Pelobatidae.
GAGAUGAGUCUGCCUCUGACCUGGGGACCCUGGAGUGAUUCCCUGUCGCUGUCCAUCAAAAUCAGGAGCUCAGAAAAUUUUUUUUACACCAUCUGACUGAAGAACUCACCUCCACUCCCUUUUUAUCUCCAACCAUUCCAUUUCCUGCUCCUUCAAUUAUGUUGCACAAGACUGGAUGUAGAAAGAAGAUCUGGAUGAUCCUUUACCCCUAGGAUCAGACGCAGUAGGUCAGUGAAUGAAUAGGUAAAACCUUUCUUAUUGUAUCUGGCUGUAUCUCCUCCUAUACCCCCUCCUUUUCCUAUUGCCAUAAUUUCCUAAGGUGAGGCAAGGACAAGCCUGACCAGACCCCUCUGACCACCAGCCUCAGCCAAAUCCACUUUGCAGAAUCAUUUGCGAAACCCACACACAAUGGAUCCUACAGACACUGAGAAGAUGUUUAGGAAUGCCUG